Molecule: ribosomal RNA, 699 nt
Filed under: Triticum aestivum (bread wheat)
Lineage: Eukaryota; Viridiplantae; Streptophyta; Magnoliopsida; Poales; Poaceae
Description: partial small subunit ribosomal RNA
Source: RNAcentral
AUGCUCCAGUCAUUCUUAGAUGACAGCCCAAAUGAUGAUUGGGUUUCCAGCUCCUUAGAGGAAUGCCAGGCAAUGCCUGCACAAAAGUUAGGGCCUGAGGGGUCUAAUUCUGCUCAAAAUUGUCCUGCAGCUAGUACUUCCUGUGAUGAAAAUGUGUCAAAAUCUAAGGAACCAGCCCCUGAUACUGAUACUACUUCCUGUGAGGAAGCAGCAUCUUCUGCAACAGACAAGCCAACAACAAGAUUGCUAGCUGUUAACGGUGGCUUGGUUCCGGAGUCAUCACUGAGGCCUGUUACAGGAAGAAACUCUCAUAUCCUGAAGCAACAAAAGAUAAAUUUGCUUGAUAUAGAUGCAGCGUUGCCAGAGGAAGCUUUGACAACCUCAAAGUCUCAACAAAUGCGAAGGCGUUCAUGGCGUGCUUUCGUCAAGCAUGCAGAAUCAAUAUCCGAGAUGGUACUGGCGACCAGCAUGUUGGAGAGAGUGAUAAAAUCCGAGUUCCUGAAGAAUGAUUGGUGGUACUGGUCCUCCUUUACAGUAGCCAUGAAGACCUCAACUGUAUCCUCGCUCGCUCUCAGGAUCUACACUCUCGACAACUGUAUCAUGUACACCAAGCAGACUAACACUGUGCCACCGGCUGACAGUACAAAGGUUGUGAACAAGGGGAGGAAGGGGAAAGAGCCAGAACCAUCAGCGUCGUAA